Molecule: ribosomal RNA, 274 nt
Filed under: uncultured bacterium
Lineage: Bacteria
Description: partial 16S ribosomal RNA
Rfam family: Bacterial small subunit ribosomal RNA
Source: RNAcentral
AUACGGAGGGUGCAAACGUUGUUCGGAAUCACUGGGCGUAAAGGGCGCGCAGGCGGUUUGAUUAGUCAGAUGUGAAAGCCCACGGCUUAACCGUGGAAGUGCAUUUGAAACUGUCAGACUUGAGUACCAGAGGGGGUAGUGGAAUUCCCGGUGUAGAGGUGAAAUUCGUAGAUAUCCGGAGGAAUACCGGUGGCGAAGGCGACUACCUGGCUGGAUACUGACGCUGAGGCGCGAAAGCGUGGGGAGCAAACAGGAUUAGAAACCCCGGUAGUCC